RNAcentral lists this long non-coding RNA (953 nucleotides) under Homo sapiens (human). RNAcentral describes it as "HSALNT0227159". Lineage: Eukaryota; Metazoa; Chordata; Mammalia; Primates; Hominidae. The record is from RNAcentral.
GUCAACGUCUACAUCAACCUCAACAAGCUCUGCCUCACGGUGUACCAGCUGCAUGCCCUGCAGCCCAACUCCACCAAGGUGAGGAGGGACCCCUGCCCGGCCCACUGCCCGCCAUGCACACGCCCUGCAAGGCCUGACGGGUCUGGUGCUGUUCUCCCUAGAACUUCCGCCCAGCUGGGGGCGCGGUGCUGCAUAGCCCUGGGGCCAUGUUGUAAGUAGGCAGGGGCGGGGGGUCCAGGCACGCCCACCCCAUCCCUCCACACCUGGAGGGCCGGGACCCUCCUCAGGGACCCUCUCACUGCCCACAGCGAGUGGGGCUCUCAGCGCCUGGAGGUGAGCCACGUGCACAAAGUGGAGUGCGUGAUCCCCUGGCUCAACGACGCCCUGGUCUACUUCACCGUCUCCCUGCAGCUCUGCCAGCAGCUCAAGGACAAGAUCUCCGUGUUCUCCAGCUACUGGAGCUACAGACCCUUCUGAUCACAGCACCCAGGAGCUUGUCUCCAGGAAGGCGGCCCCGUCCCCUACUCAUACCCACCACAGAGCACCAGCCAGUGCCAACGCCAGGCUGCUAUUUAUCUCCCUAUCCCACCCCCUACCCCACCUAACACAUUUGCACUGCCGGGAAUGGACACUGGAAGUGCCAGGAGGAAGGAAGGCUGGUUUGGUGGGGUAGUGGGGAGGUCAGGGAGGCGGGGCCAAGGGUGUCCCACAUUCCCAACACCGCCCUCUGAUCACCAUGGGAAUCUUUGGACUCAGGACAGGGCCAGGCGCAGGGCUCUCCCUCCUCUCCCCUUCGCUGUCCCCUCCCCCUGGAGGGCAUGGUGUCGGGGGGUGGCACUGAGCUAUGAGUCCCGGGGAUGGUGAGGAACGCCACAGACAGAGCCACCCUAGGAGUGAGUAUAGUGCUGGUGACUGUGUUUCAUAGCCCCAGUCCAGGGCUGUCUAAGAAAUAA